This 1370-nucleotide ribosomal RNA is filed under the name uncultured bacterium. RNAcentral's name for it is "bacterial SSU rRNA". It matches the Rfam family "Bacterial small subunit ribosomal RNA", at positions 28 to 1381 of the family's 1533-position model. The record is from RNAcentral.
GAUGAACGCUGGCGGCGUGCCUAAUACAUGCAAGUCGAGCGAACGGACGAGAAGCUUGCUUCUCUGAUGUUAGCGGCGGACGGGUGAGUAACACGCGGAUAACCUACCUAUAAGACUGGGAUAACUUCGGGAAACCGGAGCUAAUACCGGAUGAUAUUUUGAACCGCAUGGUUCAAAAGUGAAAGACGGUCUUGCUGUCACUUAUAGAUGGAUCCGCGCUGCAUUAGCUAGUUGGUAAGGUAACGGCUUACCAAGGCAACGAUGCAUAGCCGACCUGAGAGGGUGAUCGGCCACACUGGAACUGAGACACGGUCCAGACUCCUACGGGAGGCAGCAGUAGGGAAUCUUCCGCAAUGGGCGAAAGCCUGACGGAGCAACGCCGCGUGAGUGAUGAAGGUCUUCGGAUCGUAAAACUCUGUUAUUAGGGAAGAACAUAUGUGUAAGUAACUGUGCACAUCUUGACGGUACCUAAUCAGAAAGCCACGGCUAACUACGUGCCAGCAGCCGCGGUAAUACGUAGGUGGCAAGCGUUAUCCGGAAUUAUUGGGCGAAAGCGCGCGUAGGCGGUUUUUUAGUCUGAUGUGAAAGCCCACGGCUCAACCGUGGAGGGUCAUUGGAAACUGGAAAACUUGAGUGCAGAAGAGGAAAGUGGAAUUCCAUGUGUAGCGGUGAAAUGCGCAGAGAUAUGGAGGAACACCAGUGGCGAAGGCGACUUUCUGGUCUGUAACUGACGCUGAUGUGCGAAAGCGUGGGGAUCAAACAGGAUUAGAUACCCUGGUAGUCCACGCCGUAAACGAUGAGUGCUAAGUGUUAGGGGGUUUCCGCCCCUUAGUGCUGCAGCUAACGCAUUAAGCACUCCGCCUGGGGAGUACGACCGCAAGGUUGAAACUCAAAGGAAUUGACGGGGACCCGCACAAGCGGUGGAGCAUGUGGUUUAAUUCGAAGCAACGCGAAGAACCUUACCAAAUCUUGACAUCCUUUGACAACUCUAGAGAUAGAGCCUUCCCCUUCGGGGGACAAAGUGACAGGUGGUGCAUGGUUGUCGUCAGCUCGUGUCGUGAGAUGUUGGGUUAAGUCCCGCAGCGAGCGCAACCCUUAAGCUUAGUUGCCAUCAUUAAGUUGGGCACUCUAAGUUGACUGCCGGUGACAAACCGGAGGAAGGUGGGGAUGACGUCAAAUCAUCAUGCCCCUUAUGAUUUGGGCUACACACGUGCUACAAUGGACAAUACAAAGGGCAGCGAAACCGCGAGGUCAAGCAAAUCCCAUAAAGUUGUUCUCAGUUCGGAUUGUAGUCUGCAACUCGACUACAUGAAGCUGGAAUCGCUAGUAAUCGUAGAUCAGCAUGCUACGGUGAAUACGUUCCCGGGUCU